CCUACGGGUGGCAGCAGUAGGGAAUUUUCGGCAAUGGGGGGAACCCUGACGCAGCGACGCCGCGUGAGGGAUGAAGGUCUUCGGAUCGUAAACCUCUGUCAGCAGGGAAGAACGGUCACUGUGCUAAUCAGCAGUGAAUUGACGGUACCUGCAAAGGAAGCACCGGCUAACUCCGUGCCAGCAGCCGCGGUAAUACGGAGGGUGCGAGCGUUAAUCGGAAUUACUGGGCGUAAAGCGCUCGUAGGCGGUAUGUCAAGUCAAGGGGGAAAUCCCCGCGCUCAACGUGGGAACUGCCUUUGAAACUGGCAAACUGGAGUGUGUGAGAGGAUAGUGGAAUUCCAGGUGUAGGAGUGAAAUCCGUAGAUAUCUGGAGGAACAUCAGUGGCGAAGGCGACUAUCUGGCACAUAACUGACGCUGAGGAGCGAAAGCGUGGGUAGCAAACAGGAUUAGAUACCCGGGUAGUC
Molecule: ribosomal RNA, 465 nt
Filed under: uncultured bacterium
Lineage: Bacteria
Description: partial 16S ribosomal RNA
Rfam family: Bacterial small subunit ribosomal RNA
Source: RNAcentral